RNAcentral lists this ribosomal RNA (2774 nucleotides) under Escherichia coli. RNAcentral describes it as "bacterial LSU rRNA". It matches the Rfam family "Bacterial large subunit ribosomal RNA". Lineage: Bacteria; Pseudomonadati; Pseudomonadota; Gammaproteobacteria; Enterobacterales; Enterobacteriaceae. The record is from RNAcentral.
AGCGUACACGGUGGAUGCCCUGGCAGUCAGAGGCGAUGAAGGACGUGCUAAUCUGCGAUAAGCGUCGGUAAGGUGAUAUGAACCGUUAUAACCGGCGAUUUCCGAAUGGGGAAACCCAGUGUGUUUCGACACACUAUCAUUAACUGAAUCCAUAGGUUAAUGAGGCGAACCGGGGGAACUGAAACAUCUAAGUACCCCGAGGAAAAGAAAUCAACCGAGAUUCCCCCAGUAGCGGCGAGCGAACGGGGAGCAGCCCAGAGCCUGAAUCAGUGUGUGUGUUAGUGGAAGCGUCUGGAAAGGCGCGCGAUACAGGGUGACAGCCCCGUACACAAAAAUGCACAUGCUGUGAGCUCGAUGAGUAGGGCGGGACACGUGGUAUCCUGUCUGAAUAUGGGGGGACCAUCCUCCAAGGCUAAAUACUCCUGACUGACCGAUAGUGAACCAGUACCGUGAGGGAAAGGCGAAAAGAACCCCGGCGAGGGGAGUGAAAAAGAACCUGAAACCGUGUACGUACAAGCAGUGGGAGCACGCUUAGGCGUGUGACUGCGUACCUUUUGUAUAAUGGGUCAGCGACUUAUAUUCUGUAGCAAGGUUAACCGAAUAGGGGAGCCGAAGGGAAACCGAGUCUUAACUGGGCGUUAAGUUGCAGGGUAUAGACCCGAAACCCGGUGAUCUAGCCAUGGGCAGGUUGAAGGUUGGGUAACACUAACUGGAGGACCGAACCGACUAAUGUUGAAAAAUUAGCGGAUGACUUGUGGCUGGGGGUGAAAGGCCAAUCAAACCGGGAGAUAGCUGGUUCUCCCCGAAAGCUAUUUAGGUAGCGCCUCGUGAAUUCAUCUCCGGGGGUAGAGCACUGUUUCGGCAAGGGGGUCAUCCCGACUUACCAACCCGAUGCAAACUGCGAAUACCGGAGAAUGUUAUCACGGGAGACACACGGCGGGUGCUAACGUCCGUCGUGAAGAGGGAAACAACCCAGACCGCCAGCUAAGGUCCCAAAGUCAUGGUUAAGUGGGAAACGAUGUGGGAAGGCCCAGACAGCCAGGAUGUUGGCUUAGAAGCAGCCAUCAUUUAAAGAAAGCGUAAUAGCUCACUGGUCGAGUCGGCCUGCGCGGAAGAUGUAACGGGGCUAAACCAUGCACCGAAGCUGCGGCAGCGACACUAUGUGUUGUUGGGUAGGGGAGCGUUCUGUAAGCCUGUGAAGGUGUGCUGUGAGGCAUGCUGGAGGUAUCAGAAGUGCGAAUGCUGACAUAAGUAACGAUAAAGCGGGUGAAAAGCCCGCUCGCCGGAAGACCAAGGGUUCCUGUCCAACGUUAAUCGGGGCAGGGUGAGUCGACCCCUAAGGCGAGGCCGAAAGGCGUAGUCGAUGGGAAACAGGUUAAUAUUCCUGUACUUGGUGUUACUGCGAAGGGGGGACGGAGAAGGCUAUGUUGGCCGGGCGACGGUUGUCCCGGUUUAAGCGUGUAGGCUGGUUUUCCAGGCAAAUCCGGAAAAUCAAGGCUGAGGCGUGAUGACGAGGCACUACGGUGCUGAAGCAACAAAUGCCCUGCUUCCAGGAAAAGCCUCUAAGCAUCAGGUAACAUCAAAUCGUACCCCAAACCGACACAGGUGGUCAGGUAGAGAAUACCAAGGCGCUUGAGAGAACUCGGGUGAAGGAACUAGGCAAAAUGGUGCCGUAACUUCGGGAGAAGGCACGCUGAUAUGUAGGUGAAGUCCCUCGCGGAUGGAGCUGAAAUCAGUCGAAGAUACCAGCUGGCUGCAACUGUUUAUUAAAAACACAGCACUGUGCAAACACGAAAGUGGACGUAUACGGUGUGACGCCUGCCCGGUGCCGGAAGGUUAAUUGAUGGGGUUAGCCGCAAGGCGAAGCUCUUGAUCGAAGCCCCGGUAAACGGCGGCCGUAACUAUAACGGUCCUAAGGUAGCGAAAUUCCUUGUCGGGUAAGUUCCGACCUGCACGAAUGGCGUAAUGAUGGCCAGGCUGUCUCCACCCGAGACUCAGUGAAAUUGAACUCGCUGUGAAGAUGCAGUGUACCCGCGGCAAGACGGAAAGACCCCGUGAACCUUUACUAUAGCUUGACACUGAACAUUGAGCCUUGAUGUGUAGGAUAGGUGGGAGGCUUAGAAGUGUGGACGCCAGUCUGCAUGGAGCCGACCUUGAAAUACCACCCUUUAAUGUUUGAUGUUCUAACGUUGACCCGUAAUCCGGGUUGCGGACAGUGUCUGGUGGGUAGUUUGACUGGGGCGGUCUCCUCCUAAAGAGUAACGGAGGAGCACGAAGGUUGGCUAAUCCUGGUCGGACAUCAGGAGGUUAGUGCAAUGGCAUAAGCCAGCUUGACUGCGAGCGUGACGGCGCGAGCAGGUGCGAAAGCAGGUCAUAGUGAUCCGGUGGUUCUGAAUGGAAGGGCCAUCGCUCAACGGAUAAAAGGUACUCCGGGGAUAACAGGCUGAUACCGCCCAAGAGUUCAUAUCGACGGCGGUGUUUGGCACCUCGAUGUCGGCUCAUCACAUCCUGGGGCUGAAGUAGGUCCCAAGGGUAUGGCUGUUCGCCAUUUAAAGUGGUACGCGAGCUGGGUUUAGAACGUCGUGAGACAGUUCGGUCCCUAUCUGCCGUGGGCGCUGGAGAACUGAGGGGGGCUGCUCCUAGUACGAGAGGACCGGAGUGGACGCAUCACUGGUGUUCGGGUUGUCAUGCCAAUGGCACUGCCCGGUAGCUAAAUGCGGAAGAGAUAAGUGCUGAAAGCAUCUAAGCACGAAACUUGCCCCGAGAUGAGUUCU